UACGGGGGGUGCAAGCGUUGUCCGGAUUUACUGGGCGUAAAGGGCGCGUAGGCGGUUGUAUCAGUCGGGCUUAUAAGUGCGGGGCUCAACCCCGUGAUGGGUUCGGGACGGUAUGACUGGGGCGCGGUCGAGGGAGACGGAAUGCCGGGUGUAGUGGUGAAAUGCGCAGAUAUCAGGAGGAACACCGGUGGCGAAGGCGGGUCUCUGGGCCGAUACUGACGCUGAGGAGCGAAAGCGUGGGGAGCGAACAGG
This 252-nucleotide ribosomal RNA is filed under the name uncultured bacterium. RNAcentral's name for it is "partial 16S ribosomal RNA". It matches the Rfam family "Bacterial small subunit ribosomal RNA", at positions 524 to 776 of the family's 1533-position model. The record is from RNAcentral.